Long non-coding RNA from Wasmannia auropunctata (little fire ant), 692 nucleotides. RefSeq lists it as uncharacterized. The transcript has 3 exons. NCBI's taxonomy places the organism in Eukaryota, Metazoa, Arthropoda, Insecta, Hymenoptera, Formicidae. The record is from RefSeq and is a predicted model, not a curated record.
UAAAUAAUUAUUUAUCUUAUUUACAGACCACUGUAUACAACGGCAGGACAUAUAGAUAUGUUAGUAGACAGGCACGAAGAUAUACUAUAGAUGUAAAGAGAAGAGUUAAUCAAAUUUAUAUGAAGAGAUAACUCAAGAAUCAAGUGUACUCCGUGAAUCAUUCAACCAGAAUACACAGGUUUUGAGAUUAAACGUUAAUCGACAAAAUGCAGAACGUUUAACGCUCCCGGUCGAAGAUGAGACGAUUCUAAGUAAUUCAGAAUCAACAGCUGUUUUCCAAAACCCUGUUGACAGCUAUUUGACGAGAGACAUUGAAGAAUCGUAAUUCUUAAUAAGAUUGGCAAAUAUUCAUACUCCGUGACACGUCAUACAACUUUGCAGAGAAAAGCUCUUUUAUAUUAUGAUACUGUUUUUUCUGUAAACGAAAUGGACGAAUGUGGAUGGAGCGACAACAUAGAAAAUAUUCUUGUUUCAUUUUGAUCAAGGCUCACGGCGACGAUUCGAAAUUUCAAGACAUUUCCAUCUUCCGAAUAGGCGUCGCACGAAAUCUAGCACUAUUUUUAAACUUAGAGAGCUGUCAGGCCGAACAUUGACUUUAUUGUUCACAAUAUCAAUUUUUUCUUAUUUUAAUGAAUUGUAAUUAAAUUUCUAAAUAUAUUCUAAUUGUGUGAGCCUUUUUCCAAUUCAUCAAA